RNAcentral lists this ribosomal RNA (300 nucleotides) under Prochlorococcus marinus str. MIT 9303. Its description in RNAcentral is "partial 16S ribosomal RNA". It matches the Rfam family "Bacterial small subunit ribosomal RNA", at positions 1235 to 1533 of the family's 1533-position model. Lineage: Bacteria; Bacillati; Cyanobacteriota; Cyanophyceae; Synechococcales; Prochlorococcaceae. The record is from RNAcentral.
ACGGACAAAGGGCAGCAAGUUCGCGAGGACAAGCAAAUCCCAUAAACCGUGGCUCAGUUCAGAUCGUAGGCUGCAACUCGCCUACGUGAAGAAGGAAUCGCUAGUAAUCGCAGGUCAGCAUACUGCGGUGAAUACGUUCCCGGGCCUUGUACACACCGCCCGUCACACCAUGGAAGUUGGCCACGCCCGAAGUCGUUACUCCAACCCUUGUGGAGGAGGACGCCGAAGGUGGGGCUGAUGACUGGGGUGAAGUCGUAACAAGGUAUCCGUACCGGAAGGUGCGGAUGGAUCACCUCCUAA